GAUGAACGCUGGCGGCGUGCCUAGUACAUGCAAGUCGAGCGAACAGACGAGGAGCUUGCUCCUCUGACGUUAGCGGCGGACGGGUGAGUAACACGUGGAUAACCUACCUAUAAGACUGGGAUAACUUCGGGAAACCGGAGCUAAUACCGGAUAAUAUAUUGAACCGCAUGGUUCAAUAGUGAAAGACGGUUUUGCUGUCACUUAUAGAUGGAUCCGCGCCGCAUUAGCUAGUUGGUAAGGUAACGGCUUACCAAGGCAACGAUGCGUAGCCGACCUGAGGGGGGGAUCGGCCACACUGGAACUGAGACACGGUCCAGACUCCUACGGGAGGCAGCAGUAGGGAAUCUUCCGCAAUGGGCGAAAGCCUGACGGAGCAACGCCGCGUGAGUGAUGAAGGUCUGCGGAUCGUAAAACUCUGUUAUUAGGGAAGAACAAAUGUGUAAGUAACUAUGCACGUCUUGACGGUACCUAAUCAGAAAGCCACGGCUAACUACGU
This 496-nucleotide ribosomal RNA is filed under the name uncultured bacterium. RNAcentral's name for it is "partial 16S ribosomal RNA". It matches the Rfam family "Bacterial small subunit ribosomal RNA", at positions 28 to 506 of the family's 1533-position model. The record is from RNAcentral.